GACGAACGCUGGCGGCGUGCUUAACACAUGCAAGUCGAACGGAAAGGCCCUGCUUUUGUGGGGUGCUCGAGUGGCGAACGGGUGAGUAACACGUGAGUAACCUGCCCUUGACUUUGGGAUAACUUCAGGAAACUGGGGCUAAUACCGGAUAGGAGCUCCUGCUGCAGGGUGGGGGUUGGAAAGUUUCGGCGGUUGGGGCUGGACUCGCGGCUUAUCAGCUUGUUGGUGGGGGAGUGGCUUACCAAGGCUUUGACGGGUAGCCGGCCUGAGAGGGUGACCGGCCACAUUGGGACUGAGAUACGGCCCAGACUCCUACGGUAGGCAGCAGUGGGGAAUAUUGCACAAUGGGCGGAAGCCUGAUGCAGCAACGCCGCGUGCGGGAUGACGGCCUUCGGGUUGUAAACCGCUUUCGCCUGUGACGAAGCGUGAGUGACGGUAAUGGGUAAAGAAGCACCGGCUAACUACGUG
This 468-nucleotide ribosomal RNA is filed under the name uncultured bacterium. RNAcentral describes it as "partial 16S ribosomal RNA". It matches the Rfam family "Bacterial small subunit ribosomal RNA", at positions 28 to 507 of the family's 1533-position model. The record is from RNAcentral.